Molecule: long non-coding RNA, 673 nt
Organism: Mustela erminea (ermine)
Lineage: Eukaryota; Metazoa; Chordata; Mammalia; Carnivora; Mustelidae
Exons: 4
Source: RefSeq, a predicted model, not a curated record
ACCCAACGUGGGGCUCAAACUCAUGACCCCGAGAUCAAGAGUUCCAUGCUCUUCCGACUGAGCCAGCCUGGUGUCCCAUGGUCAAGUGUUUCUUAUUAUUUCCCUGUUGGGACCCUUCAGCUCUACAGUUACUGCAGGGUUGGACAUUCACUCAACAUUUUUUUUGGUCUUCUUCCUGUGUGUGAGGCACUGUGCCUGAUGCUGUAUAUAGGAGGCUGCGGUAAACCGGGUCUCCGCUCUCAUGCAACUCCAGUUUCGUCGUGGGAAGGCAAAUCCUAAGGACAAAAAAUUUUAAGUAAAAAGAAAAAAAACCAACAACAAGGUGACUCUAUUUGCUGACUAACAUCGGUUAAAAUAAUACAUGGAGUAGCAAAAAGAUUAAGAGAAACUUUGAGAAAGGAAAAAAAGACCACUUAUAAUCCCGCUUCUCUAAUACAACUAUCUUCACACUUGCGUAUUAUCUUCUGUGCCUCAUCCACACGUGUGUUUUUUUAUGAAAUUGGUAUCUAUUGCGAUUAUUUAUUCUCCCAAACCGGAGGGGCGUAGAGUGAGGAGAGACCAGUGAGGAAUUCUGAACAUCCAGGAAUUCUGGGGAAACACCUCUCAGUUGAGACUCAAGAAUGAACCACCAUGAGCAUGCUCGAGGUGAUGAAGACCAAUUGGUUACAGAGUU